Non-coding RNA from Pelobates cultripes (western spadefoot toad), 30485 nucleotides. The record is from the annotation of a GenBank genome assembly. Lineage: Eukaryota; Metazoa; Chordata; Amphibia; Anura; Pelobatidae.
GAAAGUACUUAUAAAAAAAGAAAGCGUUACGAUUCAGGUAAGCAAACAGUAUUUGUGUAAAGCAAUAUAAGUAUUGGAAUGCAUCGAACUUUAGCAAUCUGGUCCAUUCAACAGUACAGACUGUUAUUGACCCAUUAAUAUAUUUUGAAAAACCUGAUGGAUGUAAUGCAGGGCUCGACUAAUCCUAUGUAUCCGGUUGCCAUAGGAAAUUUGUCCUGGCGCCAGGGAUUUGUGAGCCCAUUCAUCCCCCUAGGUGACUGGCUUCCUGUGAUCGAAGGUGGGCUGGUACGUGGCUCGCAGACAGUUGAGGCGGGUGGGCAGUUCAUGAACAGGUGGGCAUGCAGGAUGCAAGGGAGCUGUCAUCUCCCUGCUCUUCUCCCUCGCACGCCCUCAUCUCCCUGACCCUCAAGUCACCUGGUAAAGGUGUUUUUACUCAACUUUGUCCCGCACCGUGCUGGCCUCACGUCCAUGGCUGAGAUCAUCAGUUUUGACGAUCUCAGGCAAUCCAAUGCUUUACCAUAGGAAAGCAUUGGGAGACUGUUGUGCAUGUGCAGAAAAACGCAACUCUGUGCCAAUCAACACCUCCUCAUAGAGAUGCAUUGAAUCAAUGCAUCUCUAAUGGGGAACAUUCAGUGCAUGGAUAUGGUAUGGUCUCAAAAUGUGUUUUGGUAAAGAACCAGAACAAACACUCAAUUUGCUUCAAAGUACAUUAGCAAUUACAACAUCUGUUUAUUGGAGAUAAGCCUCCCAAACAUUUCAGGAGCUAAACCAUUUUAUCAGUUUGUGCUAAAGGCUUUUUGGUGUACACCCUGUGAGUCGCUUUAUUAGGCAAGUGGAAGAGACAAAUUUAGAUAUAUUAAGUGCCAUAUAAUCAACAUUAAUUGUUCCAGCUAGUGAAUUUACAUUGAAUCAGUAGACUUACAGUAUCUCACAAAAGUGAGUACACUCCUCACAUUUUUAUUUUGAGGGGACAGCAAAUGUACACUGUUAUACAGGCUGUACACUUACUACUUUACAUUGUAGCAGAGUGUCAUAUCUUCAGCGUUGUCACACGAAAAUAUAUAAUAUAUUUACAAAAAUGUGAGGGGUGUACUCACUUUUGAUAGAUACUGUAUAUGCAUACAUUUGCUCCAUUGAAAAAUAUACAAUUAUACAAUACCAUUUAAAUGUUUAUGUGUUAUAAUUAGCUCUCUUUAAUAUAGAUCUAGUACAGCAAUAGUCAGAAAGGACAAUUUAUAUUCAACAGUACAUAGACCAGUAAUACUUUUCGGCUGUUCACCAAGGUACAUAUUAUUUAUUAAUUUAACUCACAGAUAAGAGGGAAUCAUCAGUUGUGUAUGCGGCUGUGGUUGGGAACACAUGGCAAAGGGGUGAUCGCCCAAUAUAAUAUAUAAUGAGGUGUGCUCUCUAAUAAAUGUGACAAUACUAGUGCUUAGAGCACACGUAUGAUUGUUUGGUCUGUGUCUUUUUGUCUUAAAUGCAUCUGUACCGUGGUUGGUUUUUGGUAAACCAGGAAUAAAAUCAAAGUAAUAAAGACUGAAUUUUGCUGUCAACUUUCUGAACAAUUUGAUAAAUAUUCCCUUUUGUGUUUUGGUGAGCUAUAAAAAGGUUCACUACCACUCUAAUUAUGUCCUUUGUACAUAUAGUAACCACUAAAGCAGAAACUCCAUCUGGUUCAGGUAAGGCCUGCUGCCCCUUGCUGUAUAAAUAUUUGUGGUGAUUGUUUUGUCAUUGUUUUAUUUUUUCUUAAUAAUGUUAAGAAAAAAGAGGCAUUUGUAAUAAGGAACGGAGCCUGCUACUUUUUAAAACCUAGCUAAAACUGAAAUUCUGUAUGCAGCUAAUAUAACUGGCUAUCAUGUGCCAAUAACAUUUGCGUACCUCUCAACUCCGGCGUCAUGUGCAUCAAAAUGUAAUUGGGAGGGGCAGUCCUGCACAGGAAAGAGCAUCCAUUCAGCAAGCCUGGCAGACUAGCAUGGAUGUAUGCCAAGCUACCUGUCUAUAAUUCAGGCUGGCUCACUGAGGGCAGAUCCUGCCAGGAGAACUAUUUCAGGGCUCUUUGCGGAGUUCUAACACCCUGAGCAUACAGUGAACCCACCUAAUGUUGUUGAGGACAACUUCUUGGUCGUCGUCCCCCAAAAAAAUUAGAACAUAGGACAGGUCCUGAAAAUCAGAACUAUACUGCUGAAAUCAGUUGGGCCUGCAUUUGUCUGGUAGGUUGGUAUAGAAAAUAUCCAUGGAAUUGGGAAAAGAAUAAGACUCCAUUAAUAUUCUAAUUUAGCUUCUGACUUCAUUUUUAUUUCAGAAAGCACUAAUAAAAAAUCGAAGCUGCCUGGUUCAGGUAAGUGCUAUUAGUAUAAAAUAGCCUCAAUUUAUUUUUAUGUAAUUUCUUUUUGGUUUUUUUUUUUUUUAAGUAAGCACAUUGUAACCACAUUACAAUAUGGAUGAACAGGUUGUUGGCAUUAGCAAACAUAAUGUUAAUUGAAUGAUUAUUGAAGUAGAAUAAGCCAUAUAUAUAUGCUCUCACAGAAUGAGCAUUUCAGAGGGGUAGGGGAAUGAGGAGGUUUGGAGGGCAAGAUCGUUGAUGCAGUUUCUUAUGUUGUGUAAUGUUCUGCAUAUGUAAUGACAAAUGAAUCAUAUUGUGCAGCGUAUAGGAUAAAAUAUUGUUGUUCUUUAGUUACAAAGGAAAAUUUACAAAAACAAACAUCAAAGCUGUGCCAUGGUUAGAAUGGUAGCUAGGUAACCGUAUUGAAUUGUGGGGUAUAAAAGCCUCAUGGGGUAUAAAAGCCUCAUGGUAAAGUUUAUUAGCACUAAUUGUCAUACAUUGUAACAAAAAGGUUUCACGUAGAGCAUUGUAUUGUGGUUUAUGUGUACUAUUUCAGAUAAGUUCACUGAUGCUUGUUUAUUAAAAUUUAAAAUGUCAAUUAAAUUGUAAAAAUACAUGAAAUGUCUGUAUUCUUUCUCUCUUUUUGUACAAACAGCAAGCACUGCGAAAAAAGAAACCCCAUCUGUUUCAGGUUAGUUAUGUUGCUGCAACACAUAAUUUAAGAUUUCUGUGCCCCCCUCUUUCAGUGGGGGACUGUUAUUACAGAUCGAUUCUGGGGAUAGGACACAUUCUUACACUUAACAAUAAAAAUGGCAAUACAGUGGAGAUGUAUGUGUUGCAGACCUGGCCCACCAAUCAUUAUUCUACCAAUUUAAAAAAGCAAUAAAGCCUUACGGUACAAUAGCGGUAAAACCAAGUGCAGCAACAGGGUCACCCUAGUGUGUUGUCACUCCCACACUAAAUACAUACGUUUCAAAUGGAAAGAACAGGUCAAGGUGACAAGUGCACAAAUUGGGUGAACCUUUUUCAGACGGAUAACAAGAUAGAGACCUACACAGUACAAGAUACAAACAACAUCAUGAAAAUUAGCACACUCGCAGAUUUUUGAGCCACUCAAAAGCUGGCUCAGACUGUCUGGUUGUUUCUCCCAAUACUGGGUUGUCGAUCCAAACACCGUGUCCCACCAGAUACAGCAACUCCAAACAGGUUAGUUUUCCAGAACCAGGGUUGAUGGUAAAAAGUUUUUUAUUUUCAAAUAACCAAUAGGAAAUAUAAAAUCAACAUUCAAGUCUUUCAAAUUCACAGCACAAUGCGUCUCAACCUUUGGCUAGGUCUUCCUCAGGUGCAUAUGACAGGGUUAUACAAACAGGGUUUAUAUACAUACAAAAAUACAAUUAAUUGGGUUCGGGUGCGUUAAUUACUUCAAAUUAACGCCCCUUACCUUAUAUGAACGAAUUUCGCCUCUCUUAAUAUGGAUACCGCCUUGUAUUCAGUUCCUGUGUGUAGAUAUUCUGGCCAUGUCUCAACCAAGAUGGCGGCGUGUCUGUUUCCUAUGACACGUUUCCUGUAGCGAUCGUCGCUCUCUAGAUGGUGGCGCGUCAACUUCCUGUGACGCAUUCCUGCCGCAAUUGUCGCUUUUGAGCACAAAGUUUGUUCCCAGCCGUCCAUUGAAUAAGUUUGAAGCAUAUGUGGAUAUAAAUCGUUUUAUUGGAAAGUUAAAAAAAUGUUUAAGAUAAAGAAAACUCAAAUUUAGAGAUAUAGAGAUAUAUAUAUAGAGAGAUAUAAUAUACAUUGAAAAGGCCUGUUUAGACGAGAUAUAUAAGAUCAAACCAUUGUGAUCCUUGUCUGCAGUUAGCACGGUUCUUUUGGGUACAAACAUGCACAGUCUUUAAAAGUAACUUAAUUCCAGGCACUUUAUGUUGAGCUUCACCACAGAGACAGCAGCAAAUGAAAAAACACUAAUGUAACACAAAUCCCUAUAAACAAAAACCUAGCUCGUCUGAGCACUUACUAACAUCAGAUUCCCUAUCUCUUAGGGGUUAACCUAUAACAAAACAAUAUUGGUUUCACCAACCUAGUGUCUUUGUCAGCUCUCUGCACUCCAGUGCUUAGUCAGCCUGCUGCUUCCAGCCCUUCAAGAGAGAAACAAACAUUGCCUAGCAGGGAGGGGUUUAUUCACACUGCUGCAGCUGAGUAGUGGGUUGGAGACAGUCCAAACCCUGACCUGGACCUAGUCUCCCAAGAAAAAACAAUAAACAGCGGAGUGGAGCUGCAUUUAACCCCUUAAGGACGGAGCCAAAUGUACACGUUGUGAACGAAACAAAAUGUAAACAAAACCUGGCAUUUGCGCUACAUGUCUGUCCAACUGUAAUUCACCUCUUUCAUAGUAAAUACACCCACCCUUAUUAUAUAUAAUUUUAUUCAGGGGAAACAAGGCUUUCAUUUAAUAUCAAAAAUUUAGCUAUGAAACAUAAUUUAAUAUGAAACAAAUUGGAGAAAAUUUGAUUUAUUUAUUUCUACAUGACAUUUUAACUGUCAAUGUCUUAAUACUGUUUGCUUUUACUGCAAUAAAAUACACAUAUUUGUAUUCAGCAAAGUCUCACGUGUAAAACAGUACCGCCUAUGUACAGGUUUUAUGGCGUUUUGGGACGUUACAAGGUCAAAUAUAGCACGUUACAUUUGAAAUUGAAAUUCGCCAGAUUGUUUACGUUGCCUUUGGGACUUUAUAGUAGCCCAGGAAUGAAAUUUACACCCAUAAUGGCAUACCAUUUGCAAUAGUAGACAACCCAAGGUAUUGCAAAUGGGGUAUGUCCAGUCUAUUUUAGUAGCCAUUUGGUCACAAACACUGGCCAAAGUUAGCAUUAGUAUUUGCUUGUGUGUGAAAAAUGCAAAAAACGCCAAUUUUGGCCAGUCUUUGUGACUAAGUGGCUACUAAAAAAGACUGGACAUACCCCGUUUGCAAUACCUUGGGUUGUCUGCUAUUGCAAAUGGUAUGCCAUCAUAGGGGUAAUUUUCAUUCUUGGGUUACCAUAGGGUCUCAAAGGCACCGUAACAAAUCUGGCGAAUUUUAAUGUGAAAAAAAUGAAACGUAAGCCUUAUAUUUGACGCUGUAACUUUUGAAAACACCAUAAAACCUUUUCAAGCCAUUUCAAGACCAGGCACUUAUAUUUAAGUUAGGUAUGAGUAUGGCAAGUAUUAGUGCUGUUGUCGGUAAAAUGUCUCUGUAUUGCUUUCUAUGCUGCGGCAUGAUCCAGGCUAGGGAUGUAAUGUGGUGUCCUUCGGUGUAAGUCGCUUCUAAUGUAAAAGCAGGAUGGUAAGGAAUUGCUCUGAUGGAAGGCCAUCACCAAAGGGCUGAGGAUAGCAGCCCGUUAAUGAUUAGUCAGAUUCGGGAGUCCCAGACCCCCCUGUUGGAAUGGUUUAUACACAUGUUGGGCAACAAGCCUUGAUCUUUUAUUUGCCUACACAAAUUUGUUAAGCACCGAUUGUUAUGGUAUCUUAUAGUGUGCGAGACAAGUAUUGUAAUUUAGGCAGAAUGCGCAUUUUCACAGCCGCCACUCUUCCCAUCCAGGAUAAGUGUCUACCCUUCCAACCCAGUAACUGAGUUUUAACAUUUUUCAUUGCCUUGGCAUAGUUUGCCUGAUAUAAUCCUUGUACAUGCAUUGUAAAAAAACACCCCUAGAAAUGUGAGACCAUUCUGUCUCCAGUCAUGUGUAGGUUUGUUGCAAUGUUUUGGAAAGGGAAGUUGGUAUAUGGAUGUCUAGUGCUUGUGUUUUCGCUAUGUUUAGUUUAUAGUAGGAAAAUGCACUAUAUUUAGUUAAGAUGUUCUGGAAGGCAGGGAUAGAUAUCUCUGGCUUUGUGAAAGACAGCAUCACAUCAUCCGCAAACAUAGUAAACUUGUAAUCUAUCUCGCCUAUCUUAAUGCUGUGUAUUGAGAUAUUAUCCCUUAUCGCCUGCGCCAGUGUUUCAAAUGCUAAAAUAUAGAGAAGAGGGGACAAUGGACAUUCCUAGCGCGUGCCAUUUGAAAUGCCAAAAGCAGACUAUGUGAACCCUCCAUUUGCUACUUUUGCUGAGGGAUUGGAGUAAAGUGCUGAAAUUAGAGAUAGAAACUGUGGAGGGAAGUCGAAUUAUUGGAAUAUGGCCUCGAAAUGCCAGUGCAGCCUGUCCAAAGAGAGGACGACCCUGGGGUCCCUUGAGGCUCGUUGUCCACAAAGGAAAUAUAACAAUUUUCUGGUGCCAUCAGCUCCCAGUCUGCCUGUGACUUGGUCUGGGUGUAACAAUGAUGGAAUCAGGUGAGAUACUCAGUUUGCCUAUAUAUUUGCUAGAAUUUUAGUAUCUGUAUUCAGUAGCGAUAUUGGACGAAGGUUUUGUGUUUUUUUUCGGUGGUUUCCCUGGUUUUGGUAAUGUCGCUAUGUAUGCUAGUAACAUGUCGGAUGGUAAGUUACCAGAUUCUAUUAUGUGGUUGAGUUGUUACUAAUUGGGACCCUAGAGUUUGAUGGAAGGUUUUAUUGUAGGCAUUUGUGAAGCCAUCUGGGCCUGGUGAUUUCUCCUGGGGUAAGGAUUCUAUAGCUUGUCAGUUCAAGUAGGGAAAUUGGGGUCGUGAGUGCCUCUCCUUGUGCAUGCGUCAGAGUUUUCAGUGUGAUACUGGAGAGGAAUCCUUAUGUUUCGCUAUGUGUAGGCUGGUGAUUCGUUAAAUCAUGUUUUAAGUUGUGAAGUGAUUUAAAGAAUUCAGCCAUAGUGUUAUUUAUGUAUUGUGGAUUGUAUAUUUUCCCACCAAAGGCAUUGAAUAGGUAUGGUAUUUUCGAUUGAGCCUGUUGCUGGUGUAACAUUACCGCAAGUGCUUUGCUGGCCCUGUUGCCCUGUGUAUAAGUUUUCAGUUUUAAUCUUUGGAGAGUAUGGGCUGUCUUUUUUUUAGAAGGAAGUAGUUUAUUUGUUUGGUAGUUUGACGUAUUUGUUCGUCUAGUGUAUCCGUGGGGUGCAGGAGAUGGGCAUUUGUUAGGUUCCUAAGCGUUCUGAGUAGGGUAAGAUAUCUGUGUGUAAUUCGUUUUAGAUAUGAAGCUCUACUAGUCAUCAACCCUCUGACAACCAUUUUAUGAGCUUGCCAUGUAGUCGCGGGUUGAACUUUAGAUGUAAUGUUGUCUUUAAAGUAUUUGACGUCAGCUUCCAAUUUAGUUCUAAACUCAUUGUCGUAUAACAGUGUAUCAUUAAGGCGCCACUGGGUUCUUCCCCUAUGGUAGAAUAUAUUUUGUAAGGUCAUAGUUGUCGGAACAUGGACCAACCAAACUAUAUCUCCUAUACGACAACCCACGACACAUGACAACAAGCCUCUGGACACUAGUAUGUCUAUUCUUGAGUGUGUUUUAUGUACCGAAGAGAAAAACUUAAAUUCCCUGUCAUUAGGGUGCUGAGUACGCCAUACACCGUACAGGUCAUAUUCAGAGAUCAGCUUGGUGAGUGCUUUGCAUUGUGUCAGUAGGGAUUUAGAUCUGGGGGCUUGUUUGGCAAGAGUUGUAUCCAUGUGUGGGUGGAGGACUUGGUUCAAGUCCCGCAUAUUUAAUAAUUCUUUAUUUUGGUUGUGGAGAUAUUGAACAUGUUAUUUGCACUGCCACAACAGCUGGUGCAAACAGAUGUGUAUUCACAUGGCAUCAAAGACAUUGCACUUUUUUGUUUAGAGAGAGAUAAACAGGAUUAGAUCAUAAGCUUCACAAUAACAUAGGGGAAAUGUUAGCUUGUUAGUUAAAGUUAGGGAUCUACCGAUUAUCGGUCUGGCCAAUAUUAUAUUACAAGAUAAAGGUAUCCGCAUUGAUUUGAGCAGACUCUCAAGAAAGACUGCCACAUUGUUCUAAUAUAUAAACAGAUUAAUACAGGCUGGGUUUAGUUAGUGCUUGAAAAUAGUGUAAGAGUGCGUAAGCUGUGUUUUUCACAAGAGAAAUGUGAUGGAGUAAACAUGCAAUAUUAGGUGUGGUGCAAGCUGAAUUAGUAUUUCUAAUGUGGUGAGUCACUUUGUGGUCGACAGGCUUGUGUCAUUAGACAUAUGUGCCUGCUCAAAUAUGUUAAAGUAGGCUUUAAAAAAAUAUGAAGAACAAAAAUGAACAGAUAUAGUUUAACUAUGUUAGCUGAAUGUCAGGCUAAUUGCCACCGUAGGACACACAUGUUACGCUAUGUUUGGGGUUUCUGCAGUAAUGGGGACCCCCAAGGAGAGCUAAACUAACUUAUUCACUUCGGAAAUCAGGCAGCUUGUGAUCGCUAGAAGUGCCCACUUAUGAUGGUCAAGUGUUGCUCGGCAGUAGCGGCGCGAUUCCCCUUGGGUGUCAGUCCGGGUGACGUGCUCACCCAUAGGCCUGGGUGCAGCUCAUAGCCCGCUUUGUCAGCCGAUCCCCUCGCGUGGCAUUGUGAGGCCUCCCCCUGGCCCCCAGGCCUUGUGUGGGGUCUGUAUCCAGGUGCCACAAACUCGUGGAGGCAGAGUUUUUCUCUGCAUGGGCAUCACGGAAAGCUCCGAUGUUCUGUCGCCGGCGGUAUGGUCAAUGCUGCGGAGGGAACCUCCUUGUGACCCUCGGCCCGGGUGGCUGGUCAGUACUCAUUGUUGGGUUAGGAGGGUAUGUAUUGCCCAGGGACAGGCCUGCUCCCUCUCCGUAUCCCCGUGAUAUACCUCCGUUUGCCAAGGAGGGCCUUGCGAGGAGUCAUUCCAGUUUGUCCCAGAAUUGCCGGAAUAUCAGGUCCAGGCUUGUGGGUGUAGGCCUCGUGAAAUGCAUUGCUUCUGCCAUGUUGCUGGGCCCGGAGCCCAGGCCUGAGUGGGCAGCUGUAGUCCAUACGGUUGUGUGUCCGAUUGGUGGGGGGGGGGCGGCCUGAGGACUGAGGCUCAAACUUUGCCUUGCAUGGGUCAGCUCGCACCAUGUGCCUGUCUCCACAAGUCACCAAUAUUAAUCCUGAGAUUGGGUUGGUCAGUUUUGGGCUUUUUGGACUUGCGCCCCAUGAUGACUGGGCUGUCAGAUGAGGUCCUUGGGGCCAGAUUUUACUUGGUAAUUGCCCUGAUUUAGUGCUUUUUAUUUGCUUGUAGCCUGGAACUUCAGAAGUGUGCAACCGUCCGCUUUGGCAGUUAGGCUCCUCCUCCUCCAAGUCCUCGAAUAUUACGAGUUGAUUUGUCUGAUUUGUGUGGAGUUUGUUCAGCACCUUAUGUAUAAAUUUGCGCUGAUUAGCGUUGGGGCCAUAAAUGCCCACCAAUGUGUAUAUGGCUUCAUUGAUUUUGCAGUGUAAGAUCGUCUUUGAGAGUCUUUUUUGAUGGGUAGUAAUUCAAAGGUAAGGGAUUUAUGUAUCAAUAAGGAGACCUCCCCUAGUGUUGGAGGAAUAAAUUGUAUGAUAUUGUAUCGGGUAGUCUCGCAACACAAAAAGUGGUAUUUUGUUGUGUACAAAGUGGGUUUCCUGUAAACUCGUCUUUUGUGUGGAGUGUUUAGCCCCCGGACGUUUUUUGUGAUUGUGGUUUCAUAGCCAUAUGUUGUGUGAUGUAUGUAGGCAUCUAGCUUCAUAGAUUAUCUUUUCUGUGUAAUGUGCUUUGGUCAGUUUAGGCCCCAUUGGAGAAGGUUAGCGAAGGAUUAGAGGAAGGGGAGAGAUAAAACUGAGGGAAAAGGAAAAAAAAUGAUAUUUACAUAACUGAUAUGUACAUAAGGUCUCCUGUGGUGAUAUGGUACAUGGCUGUUGUACCAUGGGGGUUAGAAACCAAUUGUUUCCUGUGGGUGGCUAUGUGGGCUCUAUCAUGUUGUCCUAAGAUGGUAGGACGCGUUUGAGUGUAUCUAACUUGUAUCUGUUGUUUAUCCACUCUGGGAAAAAAUUCAGUCAGUGUCAUAAAAUACCAUGGAAUAAAAGUUCGAGUGACUGUAUGUAUAGGUACCAGGGGUAAAAUAUAUAUAUAUAUAUAUAUAUAUAUAUAUAUAUAUAUAUAUAUAUAUACGUAGUCACCUAUAGGUAGCACAUCGUUUUAGUAAUCUGUACACAUUGUAUCUUGGGGAGGACCGAUAAUUUCAUGAUGGAAUGAUUAAGUUGCAUGGAGAUAUGAGAUUAUCAUGAAAUCUUGCUUGUGCAAUCGAGGGUCACCUUGAUCUUAAUAUAAUUAAUAUUGUGUUGGGUGCUAGCUCUGAUUAUAGAUAAAGAUGACCCUGUAGAAAUGGAGUCACUAGAUACCCGUGCACAUCAUAUUAUUUUAAAUCAUAUGCACAGUACAGUGCAAAGGGCCUCUGUGUUUCUAAUGUGGGAUCAAAUGUGUUGUGCUGUGAAUUUGAAAGACUUGAAUGUUGAUUUUCUAUUGGUUAUUUGAAAAUAAAAACUUUUUUACCAUCAACCCUGGUUCCGGAGCACUAACCUGUUUGGAGUUGCUGUAUCUGGUGGGAACCUGGUGUUUGGAUCAACAACCCAGUAUUGGGAGAAACGACCAGACAGUCUGAGCCAGCUUUUGAGUGGCUCAAAAAUUGUGAGUGUGCCAAUUUCACCACUUGCUUAAAUAUCUUCAAGCAUAUUACACUUGAUGUUGUUUGUAUUUUGUACUGUUUAGGUCUCUAUCUUAUCUGCCUGAAAGAGGUUUACCCAAUUUGUGCCCAUGUCACCUUCACCUGUUCUUUCCAUUCUUUUACCAAUCACAUUAUAAGUGUUUAAUCAUGGACCUAACUAUAUGCCUACAAAGUCCAUGACUUUGUGCAAGUGUACCUAGAAGAAUCGGUGCUGUUUUGAAGGCUAAGGGUGGUGACUUUGCAUGUUGUUAAUUGCUAAAAAUAAGAUAUCAUUUAAAAAAUUUAUUUUGUAAAAAAAAUGUUUUAAAUCAUUAAUUCUUAAAAGUUUUGCACAGCAGUGUACGUUGAAAGUAAAAAAACAAAAGAAAAUCAUAAAAUAUUUAUCUAGGGGGUGAAAGUUAGAUAUUGAUUUCUAGUUUGUUCUGACGUACUUAAUAAUUAAUAUUCAACAGGAAGUGUGUGUGUGUUCAAUCACAUUUUAAUACGUACAGCCUGUUUUUGAAAGAGCUGUGCAGUGUAGGAAUGAUAAAAAAGGAAGUGUUACCCAACGUAACAAACCUUGUAAUUUUGUCAGUCUGUUUUACGGUGUUCAAUACUUGUUUGCAAUUCAUGUCAAAAAUACAUUGGGGCCAGUGCCCCAUAUUUGUUCUAAAAACUUGCUUCAGUUUGACCAUGUCCUAUAAUAUUUCUUGUACAGUUUCAGGAACACUCUAAUGAUGCUUUUUGUCUAAUUAUAGGUGCUCUUUUUAAUAUAGAUGACCCCCUCCAACCCUGCCUCCCAAUAUAAAUAAAUUAUUGCCUUGAUAGAGAUAGCAGCAGCUCUGCCUUUAAUGAAGUCAUCAGGAUUGGUGGCUUUUGUCCAAUCCAAUAUUUCUAAUUGAGAGGCAUUUGGGAUAAAAGGAGCAUGAACAACAAUUAUUCCACUCUUGCCAGUUGGAUGCUGGGAUGAAAAGGAUUAACACUUUUCAGUAUUAUCAUGCUGAUUAAGUGCUUCUAGUGUAUGUCAGUUCAACACCCACUAGAGCAGGGGUAGGCAACAUUUUAGCAGCACUGUGCCGAUAUAGGAUUGUGAUGUCCCGUAGCGUGCCGGUCCUAUUUUUUUUUUUUUAUUCUUUUAAAUCGAGGGGUGUAUGCUGCCGUAUUCUGCUUGUGUUAUUUUUAAUGUAAUUGCUUUGUAUCGUUGUAUUUGUGCUUAUAUGCAGAGCUGUCUUUAAUAGUCACUGGACCCUGGGCAAAGCAUUUGCUUGGGGCCCCCUGGACCCUGUCCCCCCUCCUCAGGCAUGCAAUCACAUCCUCCACCUCAACGCAGUGGCAGACCUAAAGUAGAGAGGUGCGAGAAUUUUUGGGGGUCUCUUUGUUGCACGGGUGAUUAAAAGGUAGAUCUCCAUCUGUCGUGCAACUCCAGAAAUGCAUUGACAGCUGGGGCUCUACCAUUUGCCCAUGUUUGCAGGUCUGUUUUUAGCACUAAGCAGUUUUUGUGUGUUUGAAUGUAAACAGGUUUUUGUAUGGAAGAUGUUUGUAUGUGGUGUUGGCGUGAUUGCAAGCAUGUAUUUGUGUACUGUUGGUUUUUGAAUGCAGGGGUGUAUUUACAUAUAAUUUUGGUGUGUAACACAGACAUGUGUUUGUACGUAGCGUUGAAAUUUGAAUGCAGGGGUGUAUUUGUGUGUAGUGUUAGUGUGUGAAUGCUGAGAUGUAUGCACAUAUAUAUACACACACACAGAUAUAUACACACUGAAAUGCGCGCACACACACAGAUACACAUACAGACAUGCUGACAUACAAACAUACUGACACACACACAGAUAUACUGACACACACAAAGACAUACUGACACACACAGAUGACACACACACACACACACACACACACACACGGACAGGCAUACUGACACAGGCAUACACUUUAAAACCCACCCUCCAGUUUCCUACCUUUCCUGCUGGUGGCUGAAAGUGUUGGGAGUUGGGGUCUAGCGCUCUCGGCCAGCCCCCCUCCAAUCUGCCUACUAUUCUUUCCCGCGCACUCCUCCCCUUGUGGGAGGAAGUGAUGCGCGGUCAUCACUUCCUUCCAUCCUGCUGCCGUUAAAGCACCUCAGCGUGCGACCGGGCCCCUGCUGACAGAAGCCCACUGGGUGGUCCUUUGUGUAUGGGCCACCCAGUGGGCCUCCUUAGUGUGCGGAUUACCGGCCAGAGGGUUAGAAAUAGUUGAGGCCUGCAGGGCUCACGGUGCAGCUGGCCAGUUUGCCCCACGCUAAAGAGGGCCCUGCGUAUACGAGCUAUUAUAUUGUAUAUAUUCAUGAGUAGUUUAUGGUAUUGUAUAUGAUACAUAUGGAUGUGGGCUGUGUAUGGGGGCUGCUUGUGGAAUUGUGUGUGUGUGUGUAUGGAUAUGUCAGUGUGUGUUUGGUAGUAUGUGGGGGAUGUUUGUGGUAUUGCAUGUGGGGUUGUGUGCAUGUAUGUGGAUUGUUAGUGGUGUUUCGUUUGUGCGGAUUGUGUGAUGUUUGUGUGUGGGGGGUCCGUAUUAUUUGUAUGAGGGGAGGGUUAUUCUGCGUUUCUUUGUGGGUGGCUUCCAGUGGGGACUAGGCCGGCCAGGUACAUGUCAAGGAUAGGAGCUGCAACUGCGAGCUGCUCAGUGUGGUUUCCUAUUCACAAGUGCUGGGAGGAAGUGAUCUGAGAUCAAUACCUCUACGUGCUGCAAUGCAUAAAUUGAGGAUUGUCCUUCACCACCUUUUCUGAUUAGCAGAUAUCAAGUUUUACUGGGACUCCUGAUAGGCCAGAGCCUGUUUGGCUCUAGCAGCCUUGAGUGCCGUGCAUGGCACUAGUGCCAUAGGUUGCCUUCCCCUGCACUAGAGGUUUCUGUUCUCAUAAAUGUAAAUCUAAGAAACAGCAAUGUUUUUAAAUUUGUCAGAGAAAAGGAACAUCAAGAUGUAGUGGUUUGGGUGUUUAGUAUGUGUCUUUAACCCCUUAGCGACCGAGGACGGUUCAGGACCGUCAUCGGCAUUUUUGCCUUGAGGACCGAUGACGGUCCUGAACCGUCCUAACGGUCUGGGGGUACUUACCUGAUCGCCGUCGUUCCCCCGGCGGCGAUCAGCGUUGCUCCGGUUGUGGGGAGACUGCCUGCAGCCCAGACAGUCUCCCCACACUGAAUUAGGACCCCUGUGGCCAUGUGAUCGCUUAACACAGCGAUCACAUGGUCACAAUAGGUGUCCAUGUGUGUGCCUGCAGGGGGACUGUCUAUGCUGACAGGCAGUCUCCCUGCUAGUGUAAAAUCAAAAAAUAAAAAUAAAGUUAAUGUUAAAAAAAAAAAAUAAUAAUUAUAUAUGUGUAUAUAUGAUAUAUAGACAUAUAAUAUAUCUAUAUAAUAUGUCUAUAUAUCAUCUAUAUAAUGCCAUACUAAGUGUAUUUUUAUAUCAAUAUGUACUUAUAUUAAUAUAAAAAUACACUUAUAAUUAAAUUACACACGUAUAUAUUUAAUAUAUAUAUAACUAUAUAUAUAUUGUAUAUAUAUAUUAUUAUAAAAUAUAAAUAAGUAAUUUAAAUUAAAUAAAAAUUUUUUAAAAUAAUAAAAAAAAUUAAAAAAAUUAUAUAUCUAUAUGAAAUUUUAUUCUAACUGUAUUUUAAAAUUAAUAUAUAUAUAUUUAUAUCAAAAUACACUUAGAAUGAAUUUGUAUAUAUAUCUAUGUAUAUAAAAUAAAUAAAAAUAAGAAAUAUACAUAUGUCCAUAUACAAAAUUACAUAAAUAAUUAUAUAAAUAUACACGUAGACUUCAAAUAUAUAAAUAUGCAUAUAUAUUUAAAUUCUACGUGUGUAUUUAUGUAAUAGUUUUACAUAAUUCAGUAAUUUUAUUGAUUGCAAUUUAAGGGACCUGCCUGCCAACCCAGGCCGAAAUUCCAGAGAAUUGAAUUUGCUAGCACUGUAUUUUACCCUGUAACGUUCUACGACACCCUAAAACCUGUACAUGGGGGGUACUGUUUUACUCGGGAGACUUCGCUGAACACAAAUAUUAGUGAUUCAAAACAGUAAAACAUAUCACAGCGAUGAUAUUGUCAGUGAAAGUGACUUUUUUUGCAUUUUUCACACACAAACAGCACUUUUACUGAUGAUAUAAUUGUUGUGAUACGUUUUCCAGUUUUUAAACACUAAUAUUUGUGUUCAGCGAUGUCUCCCGAGUAAAACAGUACCCCCCAUGUACAGGUUUUAUAGCAUUUUUGAAAGUUACAAGGUCAAAUAUAUGGGUCAAAUAUUUUUACAUUGAAAAUGGCCAGGUUGGUUACGUUGCCUUUGAGAGCGUAUGGUAGCCCAGGAAUGAGAAUUACCCCCAUGAUGGCAUACCAUUUGCAAAAGAAGACAACCCAAGGUAUUGCAAAUGGGGUAUGUCCAGUCUUUUUUAGUAACCACUUGGUCACAAACACUGGCCAAAAUUAGCGUUCAAUUUAGUUUUUUUACUUUUUCACACACAAACAAAUAUGAAUGCUUACUUUGGCCAGUGUUUUCGACUAAGUGGCUACUAAAAAAGACUGGACAUACCCCAUAUUGAAUACCCUGGGUUGUCUACUUUAAAAAAAUAUGUACAUGUGGGGUGUUAUUCAGAGAUUUAUGACAGAUAAUAGUGUUACAAUGUCACUAUUGAUAAAUUUAAAAAAUUUAUGUUUUGAAACCGCAAUAUUCUACUUGUACCUAUAGCCCUAUAACAUGCAAAAAAAAGCAAAAAAGCAUGUAAACACGGGGUAUUUUUAAACUCAGGACAAAAUUUUGAAUCUAUUUAGCAGUUUUUUUAAUUCGCUUUUGUAGAUGAGUAAAAGAUUUUUCAAGUAAAAGUCAAAAAACAUGUAUUUUUUUCAAUUUUUCAUCAUAUUUUUUUAUUUUUUUUAAAUUAAAAUACAUGAGAUUAUAUAAAUAAUGGUAUGUAAAGAAAGCCCCUUUUGUCCUGAAAAAACAAUAUAUAAUUUGUAUGGGAACAGUAAAUGAGAGAGCGGAAAAUUCCAGCCAAACACAAACACCACAAAAGUGUAAAAAUAUGCCUGGUCGCAAAUGUACAACAUCGCAAAAACAGUCCAGUCCUUAAGGGGUUAAAAUUCCUUUCAUAAAAACUAAUGAAGGCAUGUUUCUAUUUGAGCUCCUCUCAACGCCAGCAUUUCAGUUAUGUUCACUUGGAUGAAAGAUCAAAGCGGUGAUUCUAAAGUAAAAGAUUACCAGGACUUCAAGUUGUAAAUAUAAAUGUAAAUCUAAAACAUGUACAUGAAAAAAAUUGUAUUUUAUUCUCAUAUUUAUUUUUUAUUUUUUUUGUAAAUCUAGGAAGCACAGAGUCUAAGGACACCCCAUGUGUUUCAGGUAAGUGUUACCCUAGUGUAUAGUUUAAAAUAUUUUUUUUGUCUUUAGAUUGUUUAGUAUAAAAAACAAACAUAGUACUUUCUAAAGAUAGAACUGUUAAACUGUGUUCACAUAGGCAAAUAUAUUUUUACAGUAAGAUGAAAAAUAUCUCUGUUGUAGACCAAACUGUAUACUUGUCUCUUAGUAAAUUCACAUUACCCUCCAUUUGUGUUUUUAUUAGGAUUUCUUUUAAUCUACUUUGAAUUUAAAUGGGCCGCUGCUAAAGUGAAUAUUUAUCUAGGGGGUGAAAGUUAGAAAUUGAUUUUUUGUGUAUGUUAAGUAUUUCAUAAUUAAUAUUUAACAGGAAAUGUGUGUGUUCAAUCACAUUUUAAUACGUACAGCCUGAUUUUAAAAGAGCUAUACAGUGUAUGAAUACUUUCCUCAACUUUGGGUUUGUCAUAGUUAGGUUUAUACUACACAGUUGUUCUGGGAGCACUAUAACAACUCCAGUUCAUGGUAAGGGUUAUGGUGUUAAGAGUCAAUCUACUGCAUCUAGCGCCUUCACGCACACAUUUUGAUAAAAAAAAUAUAUAUAUAUACACAUAGCUAGUAGUAUAUAAACCAUCAGUUUGUGCAUAUAUUGCUUUGCAAAUAAACUUACAGAUUAAAAAUAUUUACAUUUACACAACUUUUAAAAAAAAUAAAAAAACAUUUGGGAAAUGAAAAGAUUUAUACAGUAUCCUAGAUUAUCCUUUAUCUUGCAAUAUUUCACACAUGGUCUGAUAUUUUGUAUAAAGGCAAAACUAUAUAUAUCCCCUCCCCCCCACAUACACAAGGUAUGACAAAUAAAUAAAAAUGGUGCAAUACCUUGCUUAUUGGUAUUUGUAGGCACCCUGAAAGCUUACCACCAAUCACAACAGAAUGUAGAAAGAAUGUCUGCAUUGAGCAUAAUGCCUACAUAAGUGACUAUAGUUAAACCAAAUAUUUCUGAAAUAAAGGUAUUUAAAGCAGCACUGUCACCGUUGUGGGAGUUUGUUAAAUCCGCAGGGGGUCUGGUGGCCGGAAAGGGCAGGUAAAGAUAAGAUUUACUUACUUGAACCUGUGCCUCGAAGGCGCAGCCACCUUCCUCUUCAGAGCCGACACAUUGAGGUCUAUGAAGCAUUCUGCGAGACCGUCGGAUCCUCUUUCGACGCAGGCAGUUCCCUGCAGUCCCUACUUUGUCUCUGUAUAUCUCUAGACUUGGUUGGAAUAUCUGUGAAAUUCCAACCCAGUAAAAAUGACUAUUUCAUAAAAAUUCUAUCUUUAUGAAUUACUGAAUUUUUUUUUGGAGAGGGGAGAGGAGAGGAGAGGAGAGGAGGGUGACAGUUCCGCUUUAAAACUUCUAUAGCAAUCUUUAUCAAUCUCGGGACUGCUGUUGUAAUGAUAAACGAAGUGCAACCACUUGAAAGUGCAAACAAUGUUUAGAAUAAAGUACUUAAAAUUUGAAAACCUUCCACAAUAAAAUUAAUCAAAAACAGUAGUGUAUAAAAGUAUAUUACACCACCCUAUGUGAAAAAUAAAUAAUGACAGCUUCUCCCAGGAUUAACCAGUUAUCCUGUAACUCAUGGGUAGUCAACCUGGUCCCUACUGCCCACUAGUGGGCUGUUUGGGAUUUCAGGUGGGCGGUGGUGGGUUCUGUAGAAAACACCGGUGACCCUCGACCAAGGCCAGCAGAGGAGAUCAUUUCAUCUUCCCUGCUUGCCCAUGCAGAGCCAGCUUUGCUGUAAGCCCCCGCGAACUGGUGAGAUCAAAGAUCUCCUUCACUGGCCUGCUGACAUUAGUUCCACCAGAGGGAGGGAAGGGCCUAAGAAGCUCUGUGUCCCUCCCGCGAGCAGGCUGGUCGGAGCAUUGCCACGCGUUAUCAUACAGUGCUGUGCUUGCAUGAGGACAGGAUUCAGCCUGCAGUAGAAGGAGCUGCAGUUAAAGUGAACAUGCCACCACUGGACAACCAGGGCUUGCAACAUUAUGUCCCCUCUCCCUGGUAAUAGGUAAGAAGAAGGCACGGGGAGAUAUUAAGAUAGAUUUUUCACCUCUCACCUUCCUAUACACAGCAUAAACUCUAUUCACUCUUCACACUACACCCAGACACUCCCCCCCUCCCCCAUACACACAGACUGUCCCCCAUACACACAGACUGUCCCCCUUUACACACAGACUGUCCCCCCCCUGGACUGUCCCCCCUCAUACACACAGACUGUCCCCCUCAUACACACAGACCCUGUCCCCCCCUCAUACACACACAGACUGUCCCCCCUCAUACACACAGACUUCCCCCUCAUACACACACAGACUUCCCCCUCAUACACUCUUCCCCCUCAUACACAGACUUCCCCCCCUCCACACACAGACUUCCCCCACACUUACACACAGACUGCCCCCCACACAGAGUCUGCCCCCCCACACACACACACACAGAGACUGCGCCCCCUCACACACACACAGAGACUGCGCCCCCUCACACACACACAGAGACUGCGCCCCACACACACACACACACAGAGCACACUUCACACAAACUGCACUACAUACAGCACCCUUCACACCCACACAUAGAAAAAAAGGAAAAAGAAGUAAGUUUAAGUACAUUUAAAAAAAAAACCUCGCACUAUAAAAUUAGUUACUGUGGCACUGGUGGGCGGUAAGGAAAUUUUACCAUCAACAAAGAUACAAAAGUGGGCGGUAGGUAUUAAAAGGUUGACUACCCCUGCUGUAACUGAAUCAAGGACAUAUACAAAAAAUGGAGCUACAACUACCUCAAUGAUGUUCAAACAAGAGAUAAAUGAGUUGUAUUCAAGACACCACUCAAUAUUACUCUUGUGAGUGUUAUUAACCCCGUUGGGGCAAUGUUUCUUCCCCGGGGAAUAUGAACGGCUGCGGUCCAUACUCUGAGUUCCAACCAGCACACCACACCAAGAGCUCGGAGAAUUGACUGACAUGCAACACCAAGAUAGUGUCCGCUUGACAGCGUUUCGCUUUUGUUUGUUUGUUCCCCAAAACAUUGUCUGAAGAGGAAACAUCUGUUAAGAGUAAAUUUAGUACAUGGUCAUUUGCAAAAGCUAAGAUAUAUGUUAAUACUGUCUUGAUAUAAACUAUCACUUAAGCAGCUUUGAGCAGUAAACAACAAAAUGGAGCCUACGUCCAAAAUUGCACCUGAAUCUAAAAUGGUGGUUCAUUCCAAAAUUGCACCCUAUUACAAAAUGGUGAAUUGGUUUUAACAUUUUUAUCCCAAGAAACCCCUUGUUUAAACAUAAUUUGGGUUUACUCUAUUCCACUUUGUAUAUUAUUGUGUUCUUUUAGGCAGGUUUAGCUCCAUUUUUUUGUAUAUGUGAUUUAGAUCGAGAGCAAACUUUGAUUAUUUGUCUAUCUACCCCUUCCAAAUUGAUUGAUUAAUGCGUGCACGCUCUUCCUAGAAGUAAUUCACACCGGAGACAAAGUUUCUGAUUAGUGAAAAACCUGAGGAAUGCUUUAUUCCCCGGCGUGGGAGCCCCUUUUUAAAGCAGAAAUACGUCAUGUACAGAGUCACAGUUAACAUACAAUAUACAUUCAACAAUUGGUUAACAGUCUAAGGGGUCUUGUCUAAACCCACCCUACAGGAUGUAAUGUCAUUAUUACAGAGUUCUCCCACCCACAUUCCAGCUCCAUCUUGGUUACACGAUGGGAGGGGGAGUGAGUAGUAACUGAACAGAGAGGGGCUGAAAGGGAAAACAGUUACUUUAACAGCGAUUCACCCAUUUUGUUACAUGUGGCACAUAGCUGUUAGUUUGCACAAAGGAAGUGGGGGAGGAGUUAGUAAAGGAAGCUGUUCUUUUAACACAGGAAUUUGUUACACAAGGCCUGCUCAAUGGGAAGGGGGGAGGGUAGCCGGGUGGGAGGAAUUUACAGAGGAAAUAGUUACUGAGCACACAGAGGGGGGAAGGGAAGCUUUUACUCUUGCAGCCAGUUUUACACAGUGACCACAGAUACACUGAAUAAAUAGACAUUAGUAAAUAGACAUUUUAUCCAUUCAAGUAUUUUGUCCAUAACAUUUGGCUGUUUGUAAUCCUUACGGUGAAAGGGAGUCCAUUCGCCCCCUCCCUGAGUUUAAGAAUAUCACCUCCUGUACUAUUUUAAAAGCAGGGAGUGUGCUUACAUUUUCAGCAACUUUACAUUCAUUAUAUCAAUGACUAAUGGCUUCUGGCAGAGAAAUCUGUUAUGGACUGUGUUUCAUAGUGUAAAACACAUAAAAAUAAGGUUUAACCCCUCUAAUUCUCAAAUUAAGUAUAAAGCAGUUUGGCAAAAAAAAUAAAAAAUUGAUACCUACAGCCUCGCCUUUCUGCUAUGCUUAUACCUGAGUAAACCCCUUUAACCUUGGAAAUGAUAGAGUGCAAAUUUGACAUGGGGUAGACCUGUAUUCUGAACCUAACCUUAAUGCCCAAACAUUGGCUUUGGAAUGAACAUAUCUGCAGCCAAGGGGCUAGGCUUUUGAAAGGCUUCUAUUUUGUCGGCUUGCUCACUCAGUUGGUUUGACACAAUAUAGGGGGAAAGUGCCUUUACCACAAAUUCUUUGCACUAUCCUGUAUUGUUUCAUGACCUGGGCAUAGUGCCCUUAUAACCUAUUAACAAAUGUCUUCACAUGUCCAGUGCAUCUCCCACAGACGUUCUUGAGAGCAGUAUGUAGUUUACCUAAAUUGGCUUUUGUUCAACUGAAGGGAAGGAGCCAAAUAAAGGUGUAUAUACAAUUUAAAAACAUCAACAGCAUCUCUGACUAGAAUUCUCAUUUGAUGGUAUCAUUAAUAUGGAUUGAUUAGAUAGGCUAUAUGUUAUCAUUGAAAUAUUAAAUUUGGCUGCCUCUCGUGAAUCUGCAAUUUAAACAAAUCUCAACUUAUAGAGUGCUUACUCUUUAUAAUUUAUCGGAUUUUCCGUCUGGCAACACAGUGUUGACUUCUACAGCCCUUUCUUGAAUCCGCCCACCCUUGAAAACUGUCUGCACAAAACUUGACCAAAAGCAUUAUUGUGUUUGACCUUGUUGUGUUUUUGCUUUACAGUUUCUAUACAGUGCUUUAUUUUUACUUCUGGUUAUUUUUUCUAAACCUAUAAUGGUAUAACAUGGUUUUAAAUGUUAUAUUUAUUUUGAAAUCUAGAAUAUAUGCCUGUUCUCAAACUGCGUGACAUUUUAGAGUAUUUACUUGAGACCUGAAAAAUGAAACCUAAAAAUUCACACCACUGUUUGUACCUAAAUCUUGUUUGUGUAUGUAUGUGUGUGUGUAUAUAUAUAUAUAUAUAUAUAUAUAUAUAUAUAUAUAUAUCUAAAAGAUGCUCAGGGUGCACUCAGAGGACUUUCUAGUGAUACUUUAAUGAAGUGGAAAAAAAUAUACAGUUAUCUGCACACCCUGGCGGGUCUUUUUCAAGAUACAGAGUGGAUUACAAAAUGUGAAUAUAUAUAUAUAUAUAUAUAUAUAUAUAUAAGGGGGUGAAAUACACUUACCAAUCGUGACCGUGAUCUCACCAAACUGCUUACACCUGGAAGUGUCAGGAAGCCGCGAUGACGUCAUGACGCCAUGCAGGAGGUAGCGUGGUUGCUAAGAUACCUGUACACAAACCCCCAUGGAGUGUCUGUGUAAAACGUGAGAUUAGGUAAAUACUACCGUGAGUAGAAUAUAAAAAAAGCAUACCAAACUACACGGAGGAGGGCAAAAUAGAAAAGCAACAGAGUACUAGAAGAGCUAAUGCAAUCAAGGACCAAAAAAAGUAACACAAUGUGAAAACAAUAAAUGUGAACAACAUUGCAAUAAAAAACUAAGUGAAGGUGCAGUGAACAUGUCUCUAAGUGUAAAUAGAUAAAUAAGUGAUCCAAUACAAUUUUAACACAUUUUACUAUAUAACUUGAAAAUAUACAAGUGUAUCAAUGAGGCAUAAUAUCCAGAAAGCAUGAAUACUAUAAUAAUUCAAAACUUAAAGGAACACUAUAGCCACCUAAACAACUUUAGCUUAAUUAAGCAGUUUUAGUGUAUAGAUCAUGCUUCUCAGGUUUCACUGCUCAAUUCACUGCCAUUUAGGAGUUACAUCACUUUGUUUCUGUUUAUGCCGCCCUUGUCUCACCUCCCCUGGCUAUGAUUGACAGAGCCUGCAUGAAAAAAACUGUUUUUUACUUUCAAUCAGAUGUAAUUUACCUUAAACAAGUGUAUCUCUUUCUCUGUAAAUUGAACUUUAAUCACAUACAGGAGGCUCUUGCAGGAUCUAGCAAGCUAUUAACAUAGCAGAGGAUAAGAAAAUCUAAAUUAAACAGAACUUGCAAUAAAGGAGGGAUAAACUUUAACCCCUUAAGGACACGUGACAUGUCAUGAUUCCCUUUUAUUUCAGCGGUUUGGUCCUUAAGGGGUUAAAUCACUCUUUACAGGAAGUAUUUAUGGAAGGCUGUGCAAGUCACAUGCAGGGAGGUGUGACUAGGGUUCAUAAACAGGGAUUUAACUCCUAAAUGGCAGAGAAUUGAGCAGUGAGACUGCAGGGACAUGAUCUAUACACCAAAACUGCUUCAUUAAGCAAAAGUUGUUUUGGUGACUCUAGUGUCCCUUUAAUAAUGACUCUCCAGUCUAUAGAAAAACAAAUCUACUAGAGCCUAAAAAAAAAUCAUAAAGGCAUACCUGCAGAAAAAAGUCGAGGAAUAGCGAGGAUAACAAAAACAGAUGGCACAAAUGACAAAACAAGCAACUAGAUUAAAGAAACAUAGAAUAAAUCCCAUUUUUAUUAAGGCUUCUAGGGGCUACAGUGUCCAGAUUAUGGAUCCAAAACACCUCACGCUGUAAAAGCAAUUUAGACCGGUCAUCCCCACAGGGAGGAACAGGGACAUGAUCCAUAGCAAUAAAGCAGAGCAUGGGGAGAUGAUGCUAGACAGCCAAAAAAAAAUUAGCAACCGGUUUAUCAGUGCGCUGGUCCUGGAAAGCGGUCAUGAUCCCAGAUCUACGACCUCGAAUGCGAUCUCUUAAGGUGAGGUCAGUCUUGCCCAAGUAUGAAAAUCCGCAAGAACAAGUGAUUUAAAUAGACAACGUGUGGUACAAGUAUUGUCUGAUGGAGAUACGUUUGCCACUAUGGGGAUGUGCAAAAGAGGGUCCACUCAUAUGGCUGCAUGUAACGCAGUCUGAGCAUUUGAAACAUCCUUUAUUUUUUAUUUGAACAGUUUUUUUUUUGUAGCAGUGACUAGGAUCACUGCGUACAAGUAAGUCAUGUAAGUUACGAUUUCUUUUAUAGCUUACAAUUGGUGUCUCUUGAAAAAUAGGUGGAUUGUUGCUAUUGGUUUGUAGAAUACGCCAAUUUUUGUAAAUGGAGUCCCUAAUAGGCUUAAUGCCUGUAUGGAGUGUCAAUUUAGCUGAAGAUAAUACCUGGGCCAGGAUGAUAUCCCAUAUCACGAAAUCGAUCCCACAUUUGUUGCAAUUGGUUCUCAUGGGUUUUGUGACACAUAAAAAUUGGGAAAUAGGUAAUGAGUCUUUAAAUUGUUGUGGAUAAAAGAUAGUGGCUACAAGUAAUGUAUUACGGUCCUUCUGUUUGCAGUAUAGAGUGUAUCCUAGUCUAUUGUUGACUCUGUAUAUAGUUACAUCCAAAAGUUUAAUUGUGGACUCAUUACAAAUAUGUGUUAAUUUGACAGACAACAGUAAAGCAUUGAUCUGGCCUACCAUGGCAUGCAGCUCGUCUGACGUUCCCGUCCAGAUGACAAAAUGUCAUCCACAAACUUGCAAUUAUUUUAAAUUUUAUGACAAAUUCUACUUACAAACCUCCAGAACAGCGAUGGGAGCAGCUAUGGGUCCCUCUUAUGCUAAUAUAUUUAUGCAUUGGUUUGAACAUGAAUAUAUAUUGUCUGCAUUUGAAAUGAAAAUAAUAAAGUACCUGAGGUGUGUGUACGACAUUUUUGUCACCUGGAGGGGAACGUUGGACAAGCUGCAAUGGGUGAGCCUUAUGAAAGUGUUAUAAUAUGAAAAGUGGUGCAAAGUUUUAGAAGUGAGGCAGUCAGCAUGGAAACCAGUGGUGCCAACAGGAACAUUUCUUUUUUUUUUUUUUUUUAUAAUUUGUUUAUUUCAUUUUUUCUUAUAUAGCCAUUCAAGACAUUACCAUCAGCAUUAAUGAUAUAAAAAACAUGAAUAAUUUUGCCAUCUACCACCAAAUUAGAUAAAAAAUUUAAAAUUAAAUGUAUACUCAAUACUAUUGCACACAUAUUAGCCUUUGUGAUAUAAGAGCUUUUUCCCCUAUUCAUUUUUCUACUAAAUUAUUUUCUAAAUCUAGAUCAAAUGCCAUAUUGAAAAAGAGGAAAAAAGAAAGAUCAGUCUACAUGUCUAAAAUUUUUUAUCAAACCUCCCUCUAAGAUUAAAAUUCCUAUUAUCUAUCGUAUAAGACAACUUGAUUCAGUAUUAAUUAUUACUUAAAUUGGGUAGAUGGCAUUCCAAACUUCAUUAAUAUGAUAUACAUAACAAACAUAAAAGACAGACAUUUAUUUUUAUGCAUUGCAAACUCUUCUUGGGGUAUUUCAGUGGUACCUCUAUUUCACUACCUUAAUAUACUAAACAGAUAAAGAUGUAAGAGAAAGAGAGAGACUGAUCUAAUUACUUUAAUUUUAUCCAGAAUUUAUUCUGGCCAUACUCUCCACUUUUUCUUUCCAAAAAUUACUGACGUCUCUAAUUUUAAUUGACUGGAGUCCAAGGGCCUCCAUAUUUAAUUGAUAUUGGACUUGAGAAUAUAAUUGGGCUUGCACUACUCUUCCAAUUCCUUGCAAUGAUUAUUUUUAUUGCUGCUACAAAAUGGACAUAUAUAAAUUUAUCCUUGAAAAGGAGUGAUUGCAAAUUUAAGUGAAAUAAACCAUUAUGAUGACCCCUGGGGAUUUUUAUUUCUGUAAUAUUCUCCAGUGAAUCGAAAGCCAUAUACCACAGGAUUUUCACCUUACUACACUCCCACCAUAUAUGUCCAAAGGUCCCCUCUUUUUCGUUACAUCUCCAACAAAUUGGAGAAUUGGAGAUAUACAUUUUGGCUAGUCUGUUAGGGACUAGAUACCAGCGGUUCAUUAAUUUAAACAAUACUUCAAGAAGGUUCAGACAAUGGAUUAUCUUACUUGUUUGAUAUAAUACUUGGUCCCAUUCAGACUUAAAAAUCUGUACAUUUAACUCUUUACUCCAUUUUUGGAUAUUUACAUUUAGCUUUGGAGCUUCGAUUUGGAGGAGAGCAAUCCUUGCCUUUGAGACUAUUUGCGGUACGGUCUCAUUUUUUAAUAAAACUAUCAGGUUUUCUAUGCCCACUGUAGGUCGAUAUAACAAAUAUUGUUUGUUAAAACUUCCAAUUCUUAAAUAAUUAUACCACUCCUUCCAGGGUAAUGAAAAUUCUUGUAUCAGAUUUUCAAAUGAUUUAAUUUUGUCGCCCGUUAUUAUUUGAUUUAUAGAAUCAAUACCUUUCCUUAUCCAUUCCCCUAAAUUUAGAUCCUUCAUCCUUAAUUGGAUAAUACUAAGGUUAAAAUUUCCCAAUAUUUUAUUACAUAAACCGCUAUUAAUCCUCAUCUUUUCCCACUCCAUUAAUAUAGAUUUCAAACAUGUAUUGGAGGAACAGACCUUUUUGGUUCUUUCAUCUUGUUUAGUUAACCAAAUAAAAUGAUGUAAAUUUUCCAUUUCUGUCAUCUCCAAUUCUAGUUGGUACCAACCAACUUCCUCUGAACUUAAUAAUUGUGUCUUAUAUAUAUGGAACAUCAUAUUUGCUAGAUACGUUAUAGUAAUAUUUGGAAAAUUUAUCCCUCCUUUCCUAAUCUUCUGCAUCAAAAGUUGUUUAUUCAUCCUUGGCCUUUUUCCUUUCCAUAUAAAAUUAUUUAUAUCUCGUUGAAUCAUAGAUAACCAUGGUUGUGGCAUUCUCAAGGGGAUCAUACGGAAUAAAUAAGACCAUUUAGGUAAUAAAUACGAAUUAACCAAAUUAAUUCUGCCCCACCAAGACAGUUCAGUUUGUCUCCAUCUCUUUAAAGACUCAUGUGUCGAUCUAAAUGUUUUCAAAAAAUUUACUUGGAGCGUAUCUUUAACAUCAUCAGUGAGAAUUAUACCCAGAUACGUUAACAAAUUUCUAUUACAAUUAAAUUUAUAUUUAUCUUUAAUCUGUUGAAUAGAAUCUCUGGAAAUAUUUAUUGCUAAAAAAGUGGAUUUAGUUACAUUUAUUUUAUAAUUUGAGAUCAGACUAUAUUUAUCUAUUUCUGCCAUCAGUGCUUUAAGCGAUUCAACAGGGUCGGUUAGGGUCAAUAUCAAAUCAUCUGCAUAUAGAUUUAAUUUAAGUUCUUUUUCUCUAAGUUUAAAUCCUUUAAUUUGAGGGUUAUCUCUAAUUUUAAUGGCUAAGAUCUCCAUUGUCAUUAUAUAUAAAAUCGGCGACAAAGGACAACCCUGUCUCGUACCAUUUUUAAGUGUAAACCACUCUGCGCAUAUGUUUGGGGCCACUGUUCUUGCUUUAGGACCUUCAUAUAAUGCCAAAAUAGCAUUUAGCAUCCUUCCCUGAAUUCCGAAUUUUUCCAUCGUUUUCCUUAAAAAAUCCCAACCGACCCUGUCGAAAGCCUUCUCGGCAUCGACCGCCAAUACAAAUAAAGGUUUAUUACUUCUUCUAGAUACAUCUAUCAGAUCCAAUAAUCUUCUAGAGUUAUCUACUGGAUCUCUACCUUGUACAAAACCUAUUUGAUCAUUUUUAAUUAUAUUAUCCAUUAAACCUCUUAAUCUAUGAGCCAAAACUGAAGAAAAAAUCUUAACAUCUGUAUUGAUUAAGGAGAUAGGUCUAUAAUUUUCUACCUUUAGAGGAUCUUUGUUAUCUUUAAGAAUUGAAAGAAUAUUUGCACUCAACAUUUCUGUAGGAAAUUUACCAAGUGAUACAAUUUCGUUAAACAUGUCUGUUAGGUGGGGUACAAUAAGUUUUUUAAAUGAUUUAUAAAAUAUAUUUGCGAAACCAUCUGGGCCUGGCGUCUUAUCUAGUUUUAAUUUGUUUAUUACUACCUCUACUUCCUGAGCUGUAAUUAAAGUAUUUAGCUUAUUAGUUUGUUCUAUUGUAAUCUUAGGAGUAUUAAUUUUACUCAGAUAGUCCUCCUCGUUGGUUAUCAAGGGAGUUAAAUUAUACAAAGCCUCAUAAUACUUAUUAAAUCUCUCCCCUAUUUUUUGGGGUCCAGAUAUACCCCGUCUUCAUCCUCUAUCUUUACUAUUUUAUUAGAUCCAAUUUUAUCUCUUAAUUUUUUAGUCAUAAUUCUAUCUGCUCGAUUUCCCUUAUAGUAGUAAUUGGCUUUGAGUUUAUUCCUAAUUUUUACAUUCUUUGCUAUAAGAAAAUUAUUAAUUCUAUUCUGAAUACUUUUUAGCUCGUCUGCAUUUUCUUUAGAGGGAAACUGCUUGUUCUUGCUUGCAGCCUUUUUCAGUUCGUUUUGUAAUACCAUGAAAGAUUUAUUAUUUGCUACUUUAUAUCUUGUUUGAAUACUUAUUAUAUUGCCUCUCAUGGUAGAUUUAAAAGCACACCAGUUAUUUGUAUAUGAGGUAUCUUUUGGAUCAUUUUCAAGAAAGAAGGUUACUAUUUGUUUUUCCAUUAUAUCAAGAUUGAUCUUAGAUUUUAAUAAAUUAUCAUCCAUGCGCCAGGUAUCACGACCAAUCCUGAUCCACUGAUUCUUCAUCUCCCACAUAUUAAUACUAUGAUCAGACCAAGUAUUAUCAAGUAUCUUAAAAUAUUUAAUAUUCGUCAAUGCGGUCAUAUUUCCCCAAACCAUAUCUAUUCGGGAAUACGAAAGAUGUACCCGUGAAAAAAACGUAUAUUCCAAUGAAUUAGGAUUGGUCGUUCUCCAAAGAUCAAAAUAAUCAAAAUUAAUCAUGUUUCUCUUAAUAGAUUUUGCCAAUUUAUCUGUUCUUUUUUGAUGUAAUAGUAUUGAAGAUGUCUUCUUAUCUAAUAUCGGAUCCAAUACACUAUUAAAGUCCCCAGCCACCAAACAUGUGCCUAUUUUGACAGAUUCCAUUAAAGUUAAGACCUUUUUUAAGGUUGGAGCAGGAAAGUCAUUAGGCAGAUAUAUAUUAGUCAAUGUAUAAGGUAUCUCAUUCAAUUUACAACAAACUAUAACAUAUCUACCUUCCUUAUCUUUAAUUUGAUGAAUUAUAUCCACUUUUAAUGAGUGGGAAAAUACUAUUGCUACUCCUCUUUUUUUUUCUCCACUUAAAGAAGCAUGUAUCAUUAUAGGGAAUUUUGAACCACCCCAGCCCUGACUAUCCAUAUCCAACCAGUGAGUCUCUUGAAAAAAGCCCACUUCCACUUUAUUUCUUAACAUAUAAUCAUAGAUUAAAGAUUUUUUGGUUAAAGAAUUAAGGUCUUGGACAUUAACUGAAAUCAUCUUUACCAUAUUAAAUCAAAACUCAUUGUUUCCACUGACCCCAAGAGAGCUGCAAUGCAUUCACAUACAACACAAAAGGUCCAUUGAACAUAGACCCACAAAAACCUUAUGGGAAAAAACCCCAGUCUGGCCCAACACAGCCUGGCUCCCGAAAGGUUCCCUCUCGGCUUACCACUCCAGGACCAUCUGUGUCCUCGUGAGAUUGUGUUUGAAUUCACCAUAUCACGGAAUUUGUGUCAACAAAAGAGAUGACACUUGGUGGGGCGGUAUGAGGAGAGUAACCGAAAAUCUUGUUCCUUAUUUUUAAGAAGACUCUACCAUCUCCUAUAGUUGCACAGAGGAGAGAAAAAAAAACAAAAAACUUAUUUACAACCUAGAUUCCCUGAUAGUUAUGAAUAUAUUAUCACUGACAGUUUAUGUGGUGCUAUUAUUUUAAAAGAUCUAUCCAAUUGGUUAUAGAAUAUCUACCAUUCUUCUUAGAUAACUUACUAUUACCACCCAACCAGUUGUGUGUUUGUGUGACAAUAUUUACAAAUCUAUCUCUUAAGUAUAUCAAAUCCUACCAUGUGUUUUAAUCCUAUGAUAAUUAUAUAUAUUUUUUUUUUUUCGUGAAUAAUUUAUCUUCCUACUGUAUAUAGAUAAUCUUCCGUGAUUCUUAUUUAAAUUACCAGAAUCUCCUAACACUUUAUCAAUUUCUGAUGCAGUGUGUAAAAAUUGCAUCUCUUUACUGUGUUCAAACUAUCUAAUUUUAUAAAUUUACUCAAUCUAUUUACAUAUUUUCUCCUUUAAAGUAUUAACACUUAACUUCCAUCUUAACAUGUGAAAAAAUAAACCCACCAUUGACUUAUUAUUAACACUUAUUCCUAACCUUUUGCCUAUCUCCAUCCUUUACUUGUUAGCUAUCUAUCAACAGGAACAUUUCAUUGUCAGUAGCUCCACCUUUUUUUAUUUUUAAAGAAUAUUAUGGAAUCAAAAAAAUCCAAAAGUAUGUACAAGACACUAAAGUAAAAUUUUAAAGUACUUAUAUGUGUGUGUGCGCAAAAGGCACUCAGGCCAUUUAAAAAUUAAUAUAUAUAUAUAUUUAUUUUUUAUUAUUUAUUUAGUUUUCUCUUCUGGGUUUUAUCAGACUCUAGUCAUGUGGGGAUUUCUGGUCUGCGUCUUGUUUUGAACUAUAUUGUGAAACAUUUAGCUCUAAUCACGUUGGCUUCAUUUGACAGUCUCUUUUUUUUUUUUUUUUUCUGCACAGAUGGUCCCUAAUAUUUUUGUUUCUCCCCCUCCAAUGCAGCAUGUGCCCUGGUUGUGCUUGGAUUGAACUGGAUUGUGAUAUUAACUACUAAAUCCUUAAGGAAAAACUGUUUGGUUUUGUAAUAAGUUCAUAAGUUUGCAUGUAACGUAGCCUGUGUGUACAGGUGUAGACGGACUACAAGGGCAGAUUGGUCAUUGACCAAGAGCCAGAGCAGUCCGGAUGAACAGCCAUGCUCUGACUGGGGAAAUCAGAUUAGAGAUCUCCCCAGCCAGAAAAACAUAAUCAAAUAAUUACAGGAUUGUGUUGCAGGGCCCCUACAACCUACUACACUGUAAGUGCAAACAGCCCAAUUCACACACGCAAACCCACAAGGAGCCUCACUGUAUGCACACAAUCUCACAAGCAGUUUCCCUGCAUAGGAAAAACCACAUACAGCCUCCAUAGACACACCACUAUUACAAUUAUUGCAGCGCUGUAGAAUAGGUAAAACAAGACAAACUAUUAAUACUAACACAUUGCCUCUUUAACAACGGAUAUAUGCUUCGACACAUGGACAAGGCGAGGGGUCCGUUGUGUGGGUUCCUUAUAUAACGAAGCGGGUAUUAAACCAUUCCCUGAGCUUCAGAAGUUAUAUUCUUUGCCAUCACAGGAACUAUUUACAUACCUGCAUAUUAAACAUAUUAUGAAUACAGUACUACCCAUAACACAAGACAGCGCACACAGACAACUUUAUGUGCAUAAGUGUAUAGGG